CCACACGACUCUCGGCAACGGAUAUCUCGGCUCUCGCAUCGAUGAAGAACGUAGCGAAAUGCGAUACYUGGUGUGAAUUGCAGAAUCCCGCGAACCAUCGAGUCUUUGAACGCAAGUUGCGCCCGAGGCCACCCGGCCGAGGGCACGCCUGCUUGGGCGUCACGC
Molecule: ribosomal RNA, 165 nt
Filed under: Stipa caucasica
Lineage: Eukaryota; Viridiplantae; Streptophyta; Magnoliopsida; Poales; Poaceae
Also listed under: 1 other name
Description: 5.8S ribosomal RNA
Rfam family: 5.8S ribosomal RNA
About the family: 5.8S ribosomal RNA (5.8S rRNA) is a component of the large subunit of the eukaryotic ribosome. It is transcribed by RNA polymerase I as part of the 45S precursor that also contains 18S and 28S rRNA.
Source: RNAcentral